Molecule: long non-coding RNA, 243 nt
Organism: Hipposideros armiger (great roundleaf bat)
Lineage: Eukaryota; Metazoa; Chordata; Mammalia; Chiroptera; Hipposideridae
Exons: 3
Source: RefSeq, a predicted model, not a curated record
UUCUUAUGNGACCAGUUGAGCCUGACUGAUGCGCUGCACAAAGAGCAGGACUUCUUCAAGGAACAUCCACAUUUCAGGGUUCUUCUGGAGGAGGGAAAGGCCACAGUCCCCUGCCUGGCGAACAGACUGACCUCGGAGCUUAUCUUUCACAUCUGUCAAGCUCUGCCCCGGUUAGAAAAUCAAAUAAAGGAGUCUCAACAGAAAAUAACAGAAGAGUUACAUAACUAUGGCACGGACAUACCA